This is a small nuclear RNA of Lontra canadensis (Northern American river otter), 104 nucleotides long. The record is from RefSeq and is a predicted model, not a curated record. Lineage: Eukaryota; Metazoa; Chordata; Mammalia; Carnivora; Mustelidae.
GUGCUCGCUUCGGCAACAAGUACACUGAAAUUGGAACAGGACAGACAUGAUCCACACGGCGCCUGCGCAAGGAUGACACGCAAAUACAAAGUCUGAUCACUUUU